This 254-nucleotide ribosomal RNA is filed under the name uncultured bacterium. RNAcentral describes it as "partial 16S ribosomal RNA". It matches the Rfam family "Bacterial small subunit ribosomal RNA", at positions 524 to 776 of the family's 1533-position model. The record is from RNAcentral.
GACGAACCGUGCGAACGUUAUUCGGAAUCACUGGGCUUAAAGCGCGUGUAGGCGGAUCGCCGCGUCGGCUGCUGAAAUCCCCCGGCUCAACCGGGGAACUGGCACCGAAACGGGCGGUCUGGAGGGGGGUAGGGGGGUCUGGAACUUCCGGUGGAGCGGUGAAAUGCGUUGAGAUCGUGAGGAACGCCCGUGGCGAAAGCGGGCUCCUGGGCCCCACCUGACGCUGAGACGCGAAAGCCAGGGGAGCGAACGGG